This 331-nucleotide ribosomal RNA is filed under the name Pedobacter miscanthi. RNAcentral describes it as "bacterial SSU rRNA". It matches the Rfam family "Bacterial small subunit ribosomal RNA", at positions 1211 to 1533 of the family's 1533-position model. Lineage: Bacteria; Pseudomonadati; Bacteroidota; Sphingobacteriia; Sphingobacteriales; Sphingobacteriaceae. The record is from RNAcentral.
GGGCUACACACGUGCUACAAUGGACGGUACAACGAGUCGCAAGACCGCGAGGUUUAGCUAAUCUCUUAAAGCCGUUCUCAGUUCGGAUUGUAGGCUGCAACUCGCCUACAUGAAGUCGGAAUCGCUAGUAAUCGCGAAUCAGCAUGUCGCGGUGAAUACGUUCCCGGGCCUUGUACACACCGCCCGUCACACCAUGAGAGUUUGUAACACCCAAAGCCGGUGGGGUAACCGCAAGGAGCCAGCCGUCUAAGGUGGGACAGAUGAUUGGGGUGAAGUCGUAACAAGGUAGCCGUAGGAGAACCUGCGGCUGGAUCACCUCCUUUCUAAGGAA